RNAcentral lists this ribosomal RNA (447 nucleotides) under uncultured soil bacterium. Its description in RNAcentral is "bacterial SSU rRNA". It matches the Rfam family "Bacterial small subunit ribosomal RNA", at positions 26 to 517 of the family's 1533-position model. The record is from RNAcentral.
AGAACGAACGCUGGCGGCAGGCCUAACACAUGCAAGUCGAACGCCCGUAGCAAUACGGGAGUGGCAGACGGGUGAGUAACGCGUGGGAACGUACCUUUCGGUUCGGAAUAACCCGGGGAAACUCGGGCUAAUACCGGAUACGUCCGCAAGGAGAAAGACUUAUCGCCGAAAGAUCGGCCCGCGUCGGAUUAGCUAGUUGGUGAGGUAACGGCCCACAAGGCGACGAUCCGUAGCUGGUCUGAGAGGAUGAUCAGCCACACUGGGACUGAGACACGGCCCAGACUCCUACGGGAGGCAGCAGUGGGGAAUAUUGGACAAUGGGCGAAAGCCUGAUCCAGCCAUGCCGCGUGAGUGAAGAAGGCCUUAGGGUUGUAAAGCUCUUUCAGGCGGGAAGAGUAAUGAACGGUACCCGCAGGAAGAACGUCCGCUAACUCGUGCCAGCAGCCG